GCUUCCGAAUAAAUUCCUCUUGCUUGUUGCAUCAAGAAACGUCUUUGGGGAGAGAGUGAAUGCUGCCCCCUGCCGGCACAUGCGGUGGAACGGCAGGGCCUCGAAAUGGACGAGCCUGGAUCUGGGAAAACCGCAUUUGUAGUCAUGCUUUCUCCACUGCCAGCCAAGACUCUCCUUCGUCUAGUGGUGUGACUUCCUGAUACAAACAGCUGGCUGGACACAUACCUGGACACCACAAACCUUGUUGGAAACCAUCUCCUCAGGAUUCCAGGUUCUGCCUAGUAGCAGUGAUCCCAUCUCCCACCUGGUGCCAAAUGAGCUGUUGGAUUCUGGGGGAAAAAUAUUUUACCAGCCUAGGGCAAAAUACUUUUGAAACCGAAAUCAGUCAAGGGGAGAAAUGAAGUAGGAGAAAACCUUUUAAUGCUAACAAGCAGUCAUCCUCUCCUGCUCACCCGUGCCUCUCUUGACCCCACCCAGAUAUGCCCUCGCUCCCCCUUGUAAUUACUGAUUAAUAUGGAGAUGGACCACUUCUCUCCACCCCUUGAAAACACCUAUCAAUAUGGAGAUGCACUAAGACCAAGCAAGAAAUUCUGGAAAUAUUGCAAUUUUACACAAAGCCCACCCCUCCAGAAAUCUUGUCUCACAAUCUAUUCACUCCCCAUCUUCUACAAUGGCCCCUGUGUGAGAAAACUGGAGCAUUGUAGCCAGACUAAUAACAUACAGUAAC
Long non-coding RNA from Manis javanica (Malayan pangolin), 727 nucleotides. RefSeq lists it as uncharacterized. NCBI's taxonomy places the organism in Eukaryota, Metazoa, Chordata, Mammalia, Pholidota, Manidae. The record is from RefSeq and is a predicted model, not a curated record.